This 75-nucleotide transfer RNA is filed under the name Flavisolibacter tropicus. RNAcentral describes it as "Flavisolibacter sp. LCS9 tRNA". It matches the Rfam family "tRNA". From Rfam's summary of the family: Transfer RNA (tRNA) molecules are approximately 80 nucleotides in length. Their secondary structure includes four short double-helical elements and three loops (D, anti-codon, and T loops). The record is from Rfam by way of RNAcentral. RNAcentral also lists the same sequence under 1 other name. Lineage: Bacteria; Pseudomonadati; Bacteroidota; Chitinophagia; Chitinophagales; Chitinophagaceae.
GGGCUGUUAGCUCAGUUGGUUUAGAGCAUCACGUCGACAACGUGAGGGUCGUUGGUUCGAAUCCGACACAGCCCA